UCCCUUCCUUUCUCCCUGCAGGGAAGACUCCACCGCAGGUCUUUCGACGCGACAUCGCGAAUCAGAUCAGGCGGAGGAGGCGUCGAUCGGAAGAAGGAAAAGCUCCUCCGUUUCUCUCACGAUUCCUCUUCCACGCUUCCCCUUUCUUGUCUUCUCGCGAUCGUAUUCACGUGUCCUCCCUUCUCUGUUUCGUCCCGAUUCUUCCAUGGAGCAGCUCGUCAAUUUCAUCAUAAGGCCCCCCAGGGCUGAUUACAAUCCGCAAGAUGAUUUGUUAGACCAGGAGUUUAUGCUGAGAGGGCGAUGGUUUCAAAGGAAGGACCUGGAGGUCGUAAAUUGUCGUGGAAAGAAACUUCAGUGCAGCCACUACUUGCCCCUUGUAAUUCCAGAAGGAGCAGCCUUACCUUGUGUGAUAUAUUGUCAUGGAAACAGG
Long non-coding RNA from Zingiber officinale, 430 nucleotides. RefSeq lists it as uncharacterized. Lineage: Eukaryota; Viridiplantae; Streptophyta; Magnoliopsida; Zingiberales; Zingiberaceae. The transcript is spliced from 3 exons. The record is from RefSeq and is a predicted model, not a curated record.